RNAcentral lists this long non-coding RNA (4095 nucleotides) under Salvia miltiorrhiza (redroot sage). RNAcentral describes it as "long non-coding RNA (SMIL_LNC005249)". The record is from RNAcentral. Lineage: Eukaryota; Viridiplantae; Streptophyta; Magnoliopsida; Lamiales; Lamiaceae.
AACUACAGCAAAACUUUGAUUUCUUUCACAUUCAAAUCUUUGACGAACAAGUAAUUUACUACCUAUUUAAAUAUGACCAUCAUCGCUGCAAAUUUUACAAAGCAAAACUAUACUUUCGGAAAAAUCAAGUUUUUCUUUAUUUUCCCAAAUGUUUUUUUUAUAUGAAUUUGGACCUCAAUAAAUUAUAGCUUAUUUAUAUUGGAGCAGAUUUAUGAUGUUGGGCCAAAUAUAUUAUGUAACUUUGCAUAAUUUUAAAACAUUAGCUAUUAUUAAAUAUAAAUUUUAUUCUUAACAUUUUAGUAUAAUUUGGGCCUUGUAUAAAAUAUUUUUGUAGGCUAUUUGUUUGAGCCUCACUUGUAUUCAUGGGGUAAAAAUAUUGAAAAGCCCAUAAUAUUUUAGAUACUUAUCGAAUGUAAUUCUUUAAAUUUUUGUAGAAUUUCAACCACAACUUUAAUUCUUCCAGUUUAAAAAUCCUCCUCAGCCAUCCAAUUUAUUUAGUCAAUCUUGUGCAAUAAGGAAUUCAUUUUAUCCUUUCCACCGCCUCACUUUUUUAUAAAAUUAGCUUCUCUCAUUUUCUGGAAAUAUUUCGAAAAUACAGCUAGCCAAUUUUGAUUUCCACAGCAGCAAAUUUAGCAGCAAAUUUUGAAGCAGCCAACUUUGAAGCAACAAAGUUUGAUUGAUCUCUUUUCACACUUUCACACGUUCUAUGUCAAAUAUUUCAAUCUAUUUAAACAUCAAUGUAUCAUUCUCAAAUUCAGAAAUCAACAAAAAAAUUCACUCAAAUAUUUCCAAUUCGCAGCAACUGAUUUACUUCACUCAUUCAAGCUGGUAAUUUUAAUAACUUUUGUAAAGUUAUUUCAUUUCAAGCAUAUCAAUAGUUUUCUUCAUUUUCGCCAAAACCAAGGCUAAACACAAAAACUUUGUUUUCAAAAAAUCCAAUCAUGCAUACAUCUAUUUUUCUCUAAUUUAUAUAUUGCUAAAUACAUGAAAAAGAAAAUAGAAAUAGAAGAAGAAAAAGGGGAAAUAGUGGGUGAGUGGCUGCUGCCGAUCCGGGAAAACGGAAGGGAACCGACUGAAAAGCUGCGCCGCGCGCUGUUGCUGGCGGAGGGCGGCGACCGGCGGACGGAAUCAGGGGCGGUGGCGGAAGGAGACAGGAGCAGGGCGACGGUGCUAUGGUCUCGACCGUGCGUCUCUGAUCGGGAAGAGGGAGAAGGCGGCCUGACCGGCUUGUGCUGUCGGCCAGGAGGAGGCGCUGGCAGGCGGCGAGGGUCGCCGGAGAAGAGGUAGGCGCGGUGUGGAGAGCAGACCGAGGGAGAGGGGGAGAAGGGAAAAAGGAGGGCUGCUGGAGAAGGGUGCGUGAGUGUGCUGGUGAUUUUGUGUGUGGAGUUUUAAAUUAGGUUGAAGAGUAGUGGGCUUAGGGUCUCUUGAUAAAUGGAUGUAGGAAUGGGCUUUUAAAAGUGGGUUAAUAAUGUUUUGGGCUUGAUUUACUUUUUAUUGUGGGUUUGAAAUGUUUAGCCAAUAAAUUAUGGUAGUAAUAAUUCUUAAUAUGAUUUCAAAUUAUGUAUUAAGUUAAAUUUAUUUUACAAGAAAAUAUUUUAUUAUUUAAACUAUUAAACCAAUGAUUUCUACAUUAUCUUAUAGAAUAAAUUCAUAAAGUUUAAAUUAUUUUAUAGAUUCAAAUAGGCCCUUAUAUUUUGAAUUUAUCUGACUAGGUGCGGCGCGACUAGGACGUGAACUUUAAAUUAUUGCAGUUAAUUUUCAAAGCUCAAAAGUUCAAGUUUCAGGUGUGGGAUUUAUUUCAGUACAUGCACGUGGUUAAUAUUUGUCCAUUUUAAUAUUAUGUGUUUACCGUAUGUGUUGUAAAAAUAUUUAUCGCUAGGGGCCAGCAUAAUUGGUCCAGGACUUCACCGUCCUUGGUAUGCCACAAUGCGAUUUCAUGUUACAGGGUUGCAACCAUUAUAUUGUCGCCAGGGGCCCACAUAUAGGGUCCGGGACAUUAAAGUCCUUGGAUUGCCACAGUGCGUAUGGAAAUUUAUGUUACGUUAUGACAAUAUGUGUUACCAUUUUAUUAACAUGGACAAUUAUUGCAUGUUCCCACACUGAGUGUACCCUGUAUGCUCAUUCCAUAUUUAACAUUUUCAGGUAAUUGAUAUCGGAGACGCGUGGAGAGUCGAAUGGGCGCGUCGAAUCUAUUUAAAGAUAAAUGUUUCCUAAAACAUAUUAUGUUAUUUCAUGUGAUAUCUCUUGAUUAUGUAAACUCUGAAAUUCUAUACUAUUUGAGAUUUGUGUGUGAUUUGUUUAAAUAAAUGUUAUUAUAUUAUUUUAAUGUCAUGACUUGUUUAAUUUAUAUUUAAAUUCAUUUCAAAUAUUUAUUUAAGAAUUUAUAUCUUUACGAAAAUAUAUACAUGGAUACAUACAUAAUUUUUAAUCAUAUAAAGAUUUUAUUUGUUAUAUUUUCCGCUGCUAAAAAGAUAUUAUUUUAUACUUAGAGUUUUUCCUUAGUAAAAGUUUUAUUAAUUAGUUAAUUAUUUUUCUGACAUCUUCAUGUCGUGCUUUGAAAAUAAAGUUGUUAAAUUUAUGAUUUCAAAAUCAAGAUUUAUAUUUGAAUACAUUAUUGAAAAUUUUUGAUAUCUUAUAAAUCGUUUUAAAAGUGCUUUAAAAACCAAUUUUAUUUAAAGAUUUCUUUUUCUUAAAAUUAUUUUCGAAAAUAUUUAUUUUAAAAGUGAGUUUUAAAUUAUUUUAAAAGACUUCCGCAUUAAAUAUUUAUUUAAAUUUUAUAUUUAACUCCUUAAUUAGAUUAGGGUGUUACACUGCGUGUCGUAGGCCUCUUAUACGAAUGAAUGCAUGAGAUGAUUUAACUGCUAAUUUCAGUUUUAUAUAUCUAUCAAAUGAGUUUAAUGUUACAUUUGAGCAAGUUAUUUCGUUACAAAAUAUUUGAGUUAAAGUUAUUUCAAGUAUUGUCUUGCCAUAAAAUGUUUAAAUUUUAGUAUGAUAUCUAUCUGCUUUGGCUUUGCCAAUGAUGCAAUCGAAUUCGGGUCCUGAGCAGUUGAUAGCUAUCCUGCCAGGGCUAGUGUACACCAGUGACCGUGAGUCAUCUAGCGGGUUGGCCGGUCAAGUGACCGUGAGAGGUGGUCACCUUUCCGGCACACAGUUUCAGAUAUGAUAGAUUACAAAAGAACUUAGUCUGAUCAGUCGAACUUUAAGAAUCACAAAUGAACUUAGUAAGCUUGGGCCUUUUUAGCGAAAAACUCCCUUGCUGUACUGUUUAUGAUGGCAUGAUAAUUUACAGUUUUGAAGCAUGUAUUUUUAUACUUAGGCAUACGUGCCCACUGAGUACUUUUGUACUCAGCCCUGCAUAUAUUUCUAAAUGUGCAGGUUGAGUAGCUGUCGAUGGUGAUGAAGUGACGACCGGAGUCUUUUGUCUUAUCCUUAUGUAUUAAUGAACUCUGGGGAUACAUGUCUUCAUACAUGUAAUCAGAACCUUAUUCCGCUGCGUACUCAGAAGUUUUAUGUUAUUUUGGCUAAGUCGGAGUUAUCCGAACUUACUAGUUAUUUGAGUCUAUACGACUAAAUCUCCGUUAUAUUAUAAAUAUCCCUUUUGUUAACAAUGAUGAAAUGCGAUCCUUCCUUGUUUGAUUAUCCCCCUUUCUACCCCGCUUCUAAUCUCCCUCCAUUAGUCACGGUUUUCCCGGCUUAAUUAUCCUUAAUUAGGGCCGGUCGUGACACGGGGCGAGGCUCGAGUGCGGGUCGGGAUGAAUUUGGGCGUAGGGCGGGUCUGGGUGCGGGUCAAAGGUCGAAUAAUUCAAAGUCAACAUCAUUAUUGUGAUGAAAAGUAAUAGUAAUCGACAUGAAGAAAAAUAUUAGUAUUUUUUUUUAUGAUAAUUGUAAUAUUUACUCACAAAAACUUGAUACUUUUCGUUUGUUUGGCAAGUGAUUAUUAUCGUAAUAAAAAGUAAUCACUGAUAUGAUCAAAUAUAAUGUUUCUAUAUUUUUUUUUCAGUACAUAAAUGAAUUUUAAGGCUGCGCUUGGGCCGCGACAAAAUUGCCCUCGUAACCUGCUUGCAUUGUCAGGCACGGCCGUGCCAUAGCCCGCCA